Corticium candelabrum is the source of this 528-nucleotide long non-coding RNA. RefSeq lists it as uncharacterized. The record is from RefSeq and is a predicted model, not a curated record. The transcript has 3 exons. NCBI's taxonomy places the organism in Eukaryota, Metazoa, Porifera, Homoscleromorpha, Homosclerophorida, Plakinidae.
CUUUGGUGAAGCAAUUGAAGCAAAUGCAGAAGAGCCGCCAGACAGAACAGUCACACAAACGUCUGUCACAAGCGAUCCAAUCUAUAAGCUCUGACAUUCCUGCAUGGAAUGACUGCAGAAUGCAAGCAAAGAAACAAACUUCAACAGGAAGAGAUAUGCCUGAUUGUGUGAAGAAAUUUCAAAUGGAACAUUCAGUUGUAUGUGGUUUAUGAAGAUGGAGUGAGAUAGAAAGAUAAAGUCGGAUUGAAAGCUCUUCAUGUUCUCCGUCUAUCAGUAGGAAUAAUAGUGACACAUCAAAUGGUCUUCCUCUCCUGUCAUUGUGGUCACGUGAUGUUACUUAACCUGUCACGUGAUCUUACUCUACAGGUCACGUGAUGUUUGUAACGCUACAGAUGAGAAUAACCGUCCCAUAGUGUGAAGACUGAAUAUUUAAUUCUAGAUACUUUUAUUUGUUUAAGAGAUGUUUUGUAUUAUGAAAUAUAGAGUAGAAUGUAAAUAGUAAACAAUGAUAUAGAAUACUCUAAAAUA